RNAcentral lists this ribosomal RNA (460 nucleotides) under uncultured bacterium. RNAcentral's name for it is "partial 16S ribosomal RNA". It matches the Rfam family "Bacterial small subunit ribosomal RNA", at positions 338 to 795 of the family's 1533-position model. The record is from RNAcentral.
CCUACGGGAGGCUGCAGUGAGGAAUAUUGGUCAAUGGGCGUAAGCCUGAACCAGCCAAGUCGCGUGAGGGAUGAAGGUUCUAUGGAUCGUAAACCUCUUUUAUAAGGGAAUAAAGUGUGGGACGUGUCCUGUUUUGUAUGUACCUUAUGAAUAAGGAUCGGCUAACUCCGUGCCAGCAGCCGCGGUAAUACGGAGGAUCCGAGCGUUAUCCGGAUUUAUUGGGUUUAAAGGGUGCGUAGGCGGCCUUUUAAGUCAGCGGUGAAAGUCUGUGGCUCAACCAUAGAAUUGCCGUUGAAACUGGGAGGCUUGAGUAUGUUUGAGGCAGGCGGAAUGCGUGGUGUAGCGGUGAAAUGCUUAGAUAUCACGCAGAACCCCGAUGGCGAAGGCAGCCUGCCAAGCCAUGACUGACGCUGAUGCACGAGAGCGUGGGGAUCAAACAGGAUUAGAGACCCCGGUAGUC